This 1718-nucleotide long non-coding RNA is filed under the name Pongo abelii (Sumatran orangutan). Its description in RNAcentral is "lincRNA". The record is from RNAcentral. Lineage: Eukaryota; Metazoa; Chordata; Mammalia; Primates; Hominidae.
AGAGCGCGCAGGCGGCUCGGGUGCGCGUUGCGGCGCUGGUGUCCGGAGGACGCGGUCACCGCUGCUGGCAUUUGUCGUUCUGCGCUUCUCCGCAAGGACCCUCUGCUAUGCAGGCGCCCACCGUAAGCCUCCCGGGUCUUGUGAACCUGCAAACCCAAGUCCGAGAGACGAUCCGCCUUCAGCACUUUCCGGCUUGGCAGAGAGGCUUUCCUGGCGGGGAUCUUUGGUUCGCGCUGGCGAUGCGCGGGGAAGAAAGGCGAGGAGGAGCGUCCAGGCUGGAUGCUGUCCCAGCGCGAGUAGGCGGGAUGCGCUCGCAUGGUCCGCGGGGCGCCCCGUCCCCGCCCGCGUCGCGCGCCCACCCCUGGGGACGAGAAUGCGGCCGCCUGGGGAACCCCGCUCGCGACCUCCGCGAGUCUGGAGCGCAGAGGACAGGGUCUGGCGGCUCUUUGGCCUUGGAUGGAAAGUGGGCAAUUGGGUGGGGGGCUGCGGACCCCUUAACGUGGAUUACUUGGUGUGUAUCAGCUGGGCUCAGAAGACCCACGACCUCUUCUCCAUCCUUGGAUUGAUUUGUUCUGCUUAACAGCUGGGUCGCCAAGCUGGCGGUAUUUUUCCCUCUCCACCCUGGUCUUCUCCUGUAGCGUGUGGCCGCCUUUUCCAGCAUGGCCUCCUGCUUCCCUGGUGCACUUUUUGGAGAAGGUGGUGGAAUCAGAGGUUUCUGGCUGACUCGGUGGGUGCUUUGAACCAGGAAAGGACAAGAAAGAGGUUGGAGUGCAGUGGCAUGAUCUCAGCUCACUGCAGCCUCGACUUCCUGGGCUCAAGAAAUCCUCCUGUCUCUGCCUUCCGAGUAGCUGUGACCACAGUUAUAUGCCAUCAUGCCCAGACCAGAUUUCACCAUAUUGCCCAGGGUGGUCUUGAACUCCUGGGCUCAAGUGAUCCGCCUGCCUUGGCCUCCCAGAAUGCCAGGAUUACAGAGGUGAGCCACUGUGCCUGGCCUGAAGUCUAGUAAUUUUUAAAACUUUGCAUGUGAUUCUGCUCAUGAGCCAAGUUCAGGCGCCUGUGGAACAGCUAUAUUCCUCAAACUAGACAUGCACACCAGUCCCUGGGUAUUCUGUCAAAAGGCAGAUUCACAUUCAGCAGGUCUAGGGUCGGGGGCCUGACAUUUUGCACGUCUCACAAGCUCCCAGGUGAUGCUGAUGGUGCUGGUCACUGGAUGCCCCCUUGAGUAGUAAGGAACAAGAGGACUCUCCCCUGUUCUUUUCAGCUAUGUAGCCCAGUGGUUCUCCACUUUAGGCUUCACACUGGAAUCAUCUAGGGAGCUUUAAACUAUAGUGAUGCCUGGCGGUGUCUUACUCUCAGAGCUUCUGGUUUGAUUGGUCUAGGUUGCAGCCUGGGCAAUGAGAUUUAAAAGCUUCUCAGAUGGGCCGGGCAUGGUGGCUCAAGCCUGUAAUCCCAGCACUUUGGGCGGCACAGGUGGGCGGAUCACGUGGUCAGGAGAUCGAAACCAUCCUGGCUAGCACAGUGAAACCCCGUCUCUACUAAAAAUACAAAAAAUUAGCCGGGCGUGGUGGCAGGCGCCUGUGGUCCCAGCUGCUCGGGAGGCUGAGGCAGGAGAAUGGCCUGAACCCGGGAGGCAGAGCUUGCAGAGAGCCGAUCGCGCCACUGCACUCCAGCCUGGGCGACAGAGCGAGACUCCGUCUCAAAAAAAAAAAAAAAAAAAA